UCGGACUUUUCACGCUGAAAAGGCAACUUCCCACGGAUGGCCCACGAUGCUGCACAAAACAAGUGCCUCUUACGCCCCGCUGUGUCCCGCUGUGUUGUUGAUGCAACAGCGCUGCCCUGGAGCAGUGUUUGUAGAGCGCUGCAGCGAGAGACCUUGGGUCUCAGCUCAGGAGCCACAUACACAACCUUCUCUCUAAGAAUAAAAAUAAUGUGGAGUUCACGACAACAGAAGCAGCAGGAGAUGAAAACUCUGAAUCCUGGGAAUGGUUGGAACUCCAGUCUGAGCUGAACCUGCAGCCCUUCUGUUCUCUGUGGUGAUGCUUGACCUCCAUCUGAAGGGAGGCCUGUGAUAUUAAAGUUUCAGUCUGUAAAAACUGGCCUGAACUCUUACUGUUAAUAAAGUAACAACUCACUCGUCAGAAACACACACAGGUUUAAUAACAGAGGGGACGGAGAGGACGAUAUGAAGGUGCAAACACUUCUCCCCAACAGGUUCUCAAACCUCUGAGGAAAUGGGUCAGGUCCAAGGAAAUACUGACAGGAAGUCUCUGUGUCGCCGUGAACUCUGCUGCUGAUCCAUCUGAGACGGUCCAAUCACUGAGACACACAGUACUGUGUACUACACAGUACUGUGUAGUACACACAGUACAGCCUGGGUUCUGUGUUUCGUUUCUCCGUCUGUUCUGUUGCUCAGGUGUUUUUCAUAACCGUUCCUGGUCGUGUUGUUCCUGCGUGUGGCGCUGUGUUAUUGUUUUAUCAGGAUUUUAAUGAAUGUUUGUUUUAUCUUCCAGCUUCAGAUCAACUGGGACUGACAGCAUGAAAACAACAUGAAAUAUUUAAACACCGUAAGAAAGACAGACAGGAAUCUGAAAUAUGUUUAUUGUUAAUCCUAAAUGAUUGGAUUAACAUUCAUCAUGAAUUCUGUGGAACCUCAUAAUAUUCACGAUAAUUACAGAGCAAAGUUUUAUUGUACGUCACUGACAUGAAAUAUUCCCAGGUAAAUGUGAGAUAUUUGGCAGAUGAUGACAUUUAUAAUUGGUAAAAAAUAAAGACGCUGUAAUACUUCUUCAAUACUUUUGACAGUAUUCAUUAUUAAGACUGAGUUGUUAUUCAGGAGUGGGUUUUGGUGUUGGAUCACGUGGUUGGUUUAUUAGGGCUGCAGGUGUAACUGACGCAGUUCAUCACAAACGUUAUCUCCACUCUUUAUGUUUGUUCUUCGUUUACAGUUAAAUAAAAAGUGAUUGAUCUACCGCUGUA
Molecule: long non-coding RNA, 1256 nt
Organism: Cynoglossus semilaevis (tongue sole)
Lineage: Eukaryota; Metazoa; Chordata; Actinopteri; Pleuronectiformes; Cynoglossidae
Exons: 2
Source: RefSeq, a predicted model, not a curated record